GCAAGUCGAACGCGACCUUACUCUUCGGAGUAAGAGAGAGUGGCGGACGGGUGAGUAACGCGUGGGAACCUGCCUUGCAGUAAGGGAUAACUUCGGGAAACCGAAGCUAAUACCGUAUACGCCCUUAUGGGGAAAGAUUUAUCGCUGUAAGAUGGGCCCGCGUUAGAUUAGGUAGUUGGUAGGGUAAUGUCCUACCAAGCCGAUGAUCUAUAGGGGGUCUGAGAGGAUGAUC
RNAcentral lists this ribosomal RNA (232 nucleotides) under uncultured bacterium. Its description in RNAcentral is "partial 16S ribosomal RNA". It matches the Rfam family "Bacterial small subunit ribosomal RNA", at positions 57 to 305 of the family's 1533-position model. The record is from RNAcentral.